Molecule: long non-coding RNA, 2539 nt
Organism: Microcebus murinus (gray mouse lemur)
Lineage: Eukaryota; Metazoa; Chordata; Mammalia; Primates; Cheirogaleidae
Source: Ensembl
AUAAAAACUGGAGACGUUAAGAAAUUGAUAUUUAAGGAGAUCCAGCCAGAGGAUGAUGGAGAUGGCCUUGAACCCUGAUCUUCAGCCGGCAAAGUCUGCAUUUGCCAGGGCCAUGUUGCUCUGCCACGUGGCCCUCAGAGGCUGAGGUUUCAGCGGCAGGACAUGUGCAUGGGCGGGCAAUUGCGGCCCACGUUUUGACGUUUCUGGCAUCAGCUCUGCCCAGUCUGUUCCACCUUCUGCAAGUUCAAGGGAAGAGUCCAGAGCCAGGAUCACAUCGGGUUUCGCCCUGGGCCUGCAGCUCCGGGCCUCGGAAGCCAGUAAUUCCUUAUCCAGAGCCUGGGAAACUGAAAGUGACCUUCAACACUUGGACACCUGAGAACCAUCACCUAACAGGGUCCUCAGGAGACAGUGCACUAGAGCAAAGGAGCAUGGAAGAGGCACUUUUGUUCCCUUACCUACCAAGGAAGGGGACAGAAUAGCCAGAGGAAAUGAGGCCUUUGGAAACUCCAGAAUGGGGAUUUGAGAACAAUGCAGCCUUCUGGAAGCUGGAGUGCUAAGGGAAGUUACCUUCCGUUGCUACAGGAAGAGUGAGCACAGCAAUGUGCCUGUGGGACCUCUGGCCAGGCUCUGCGGCAGCAGCAGGAGGACAGCAACCUGGGGAAGAAGAGGUGAUUUCAUUUGGUAGGACUCGGAACUUGGGUUGGAGCAAGACCAGACGCCCCACUGUUGGGUUGUCUGUAUUAAAAGCCUCCUCAGCCCCAGGCUUGAUGACCAGCCUCUAUUACUCAGAAGAACUUGUGCAACUCCCUGCUUCUUUAUAUUCAAGCGUCAGCAUGUUUGACCUUUGUUUGCAAUCCAGAACCUGCCUGGGAUUUUACAGAACAAAAACCCAGCUUCAUUCUGAAAAUGAAAUGACAGCUGAUCACUGGAAAGCAGCCCACAGCCCAGAUCCCCACGUUAGCGCAAUCUGAAGUCAAAGUUUCCACCUGGAUGAUUCCAAUGCCAGCUUGACACCUUGGUAAGAGCUCUCAGACAUACCAAACCAGGGGAAAAGGAAAGAGACUCUUUUUUCUUGCUGUCCCAGAUCAGAUAACAUUGCCUGAUUAGUUCCUCUACCAUGAAUUCACACCACAUGUACCCACACGCCAGCCCUUUGCUAAAAGGCCAUCGGCUCUAUUGCUUCCUGCACAAUCAUUCAUAUUUUGCCUCACGCCUUCCCUUCUCCACCUCUGUUUCCGGCUCCUCCCCCCCUCUCCCCCUGAAGUAGCACAAAUGCUUACAAAGAAAAUGUGUCAACAGGUGAAAUUUAUAGGAGUUUCCUGGCCCACACAGAAAUGAGAACCACAGGCGUCCCCAAAGGAGAGAGUUCCCUACCCCGACACUAAGCCUCUUAAAUAUGCCCUGAUUCAUUCGCGUAGGAGUUCUCUAGAGAAACCAGUUAUCUUUUUUUAUGGAAUCAGAGUGUGGAGCUCCUGUUUGGGAAGAGUGGCUUUGAUACAUGCCAGUUGGGAUUAUUUUGAUGCAGUUACAGAAAAACCCAACCCAAACUGGCUUAGUCAAAAUAGGAAUUUAUUGAUUCAGAGAAGCUGAAAAGAGGAAGGCUAGCUUUAGGCAUAAAUCCAUUCAGGAUGCCAGUGGAUCAGUAGCACCUGGGCAUUUUUUUCUUUAUUUCUUUGUUCUGCCUUCCAUUACAUGGACUUUAGUUUUAUGGAUACCAAAAGGAUCUCUGUGAACCCACUCAUUAUCUUAUGUUUUAGAUCAGAGUUUCUUUUUCAAAAGAUACAAUGAAAAAUGUCAUUGUGUCUUAUUGGUUCUUACUAGGUCAUGUAUGAUCCAUGAACGUCAGUGGACGGGGAUGUGAGACUUGCUGAUGACUCAGACCUGGGUCACAAGCUCCACCCUUGGGGCUGAGUGUGGAGUUAGUUUUAAUGGGGCUGCAUGGACACCAGGCACUGUUACCGGGGGACACUGGCCAUGUUCACUGCAGUGAGUUUGGCCUUCUAAGAAAUGAUGUGUGUGUGUGUUUAGUAAUGUUUUGUCUCCACAGCUCAAGCCAGCUGCAUAUCUUGAAAUAACCAUUAUCUGCUCACAUAAAAUAAGAAUUUGCUUUGUACCCCCAUAAUAUGCUGAAAAAAAAAAUAAGAAUUCACACCCAAAGCCAGGGUAGUUUGGAGAAAGGGUUACUGAUUAAACCUCCAAAAGCCAAGGUAGUUUGCCAAAAUUUUGAUAGAAAUGAAUGUUUAUAGCAGCACAAUUCAUAAUCGCAAGGCUGUGGAAGCAGCCCAAGUGCCCAUCAAUCCAAGAAUGGAUUAAUAAAAUGUGGUAUAUGUAUACCAUGGAGUACUAUUCAGCUCUAAGAAACAAUGGUGAUAUAGCACAUCUUAUAUUUUCCUGGUUAGAGCUGGAACCCAUAUUACUAAGUGAAGUAUCCCAAGAAUGGAAAAACAAGCACCAGAUAUAUUCUCCAGCAAACUGGUAUUAACUGAGUAGCACCUAAGUGGACACAUAGGUACUACAGUAAUAGGGUAUUGGGGAGGGG